CUCUCUCUCUAAUCCAAUCCCUCCCUUCAUCUCUUCUCUCCUCUAAUCCCCUAUGCGUUUUGCCCUAACCAUCUUUACGCACAAAGAAGAAAGAGUUUCAGACCCAAAAGAAACUUGAGAGAUAGAGAGAGAGAGAGAGAGAGAGAGAGAGACAGAGAGACAGAGUGAUCAAAUGAAAGCAGAGCAAGAACCACAACAACCAAUCGGAGCCCUUCCUCGAGAACUACACCUCGUACUUCUCACCUCGCGAGUUCGAAAUCGCCGAAAUCUUGGUCGGACUUCCUGACAUCAUCUCCCAAUUAGACUCCCGACCCCGAAUUCGGGUCCUGUGGGGCCACAAGAAGAAGAGAUCUGUUCUCUCUGUACAAGACCAAAAACCGACCAAGAAGUCGUCCACUGUGGUUAGGCUUCGGUUGCCGUCUUCCCCGAAUCCUGCGCCGAAAAUUCCGGCCACUAAUGUUGUCAAGGUUGAGAGGUCGAGCCCCAACACGCCGCUGUCGUUUGAGUCAGAGGAGAAGCCUCCUGGUCAGUUGAGAAGUAGAGUGGUCUCCGUGAAGAGGAAAAGAGAAGAAUGGCUGGAGGUGAUAGAUGGAUUAUCAAAGCGCAAAGAAUUGCUACAAAAAGAGAUACAGAAUGUGAAGGAUUAUAAAGAAAAGCUGAUUAAUUUUAAUUUGGUAUUGCAAUCAAGGAAUCAAGAGCUAAAGAAGCAAAGAUUGAUUCAGGAAGAAGCUCAAUUGAAAAUUGAGGAACAAAACUUGAAUCUUGAUAUGCAAUUAGGCCAACCCACACUCGUACCAACCUCCAUAGUCAUUUGUGCGCCUACAGUUGUUAAACAAGAGCAUUAUCAUCAACAAAUUGCUCCUCAUCAGUAUCAAAUGCAGAUCAUGGAUCACACGGCUCAAACUCGAAGCGCAGUAAUUAGUGAGAAUCAUGGGUGUCGAGCAUCAAACACUCAAAUGGCCUCAACCAAUGGAGUGAGAUUGGUAAGCUGCAAUAACAUGGGAGGCUCAAUGCUUGUCCCUGAUUGCAGCUUUUCUUUUCUUAACCAGAAUCAUAGCUCCUCUUUGGCUACCAAGAAUCUCUAUAAGGCUAUGUCUGCACAAAGAAGGCAGGAGAGAUA
Molecule: RNA transcript, 1120 nt
Organism: Fragaria vesca subsp. vesca
Lineage: Eukaryota; Viridiplantae; Streptophyta; Magnoliopsida; Rosales; Rosaceae
Exons: 4
Source: RefSeq, a predicted model, not a curated record